GUUUGACGCUCCACAACAAGAGGUGUCGUCUGACGAACAUGAAGCUGUCGUUGAUUUUUGUCGUACUUCUCGGUGUUUUCCUCGUGUGCUCGGAAGCUCAUCGACACUGGGGGCGUCAUCGUGGGGGCUAUAGAGGCUGGGGACGCCAUAGAGGCUGGGGACGCCAUAGAGGCUGGGUACGCCAUCGAGGCUGGGUACACCAUCGAGGCGGGCGCUAUAAUAAUGGCUAUGCACAAUGCCAGAAGAGAGUUAACCAUCUGCAAAGGCAACUGCAUAAUUUGAGCAACCUGAUAAAUAGAUAUCUGGCAGCAGUAACAGCACCGACCACAAUGGCAACAACCACAUAGAAGACGUAAAUAAUGUGGC
Long non-coding RNA from Gigantopelta aegis, 366 nucleotides. RefSeq lists it as uncharacterized. NCBI's taxonomy places the organism in Eukaryota, Metazoa, Mollusca, Gastropoda, Neomphalida, Peltospiridae. The transcript has 3 exons. The record is from RefSeq and is a predicted model, not a curated record.